This 255-nucleotide ribosomal RNA is filed under the name uncultured bacterium. RNAcentral's name for it is "partial 16S ribosomal RNA". It matches the Rfam family "Bacterial small subunit ribosomal RNA", at positions 13 to 263 of the family's 1533-position model. The record is from RNAcentral.
UUGAUCAUGGCUCAGGAUGAACGCUAGCGACAGGCUUAACACAUGCAAGUCGAGGGGCAGCACGGUGUAGCGAUACACUGGUGGCGACCGGCGCACGGGUGAGUAACACGUGUGCAACCAACCCCGUACCGGGAGAUAACCCGCGGAAACGUGGACUAACAUCCCAUGACACUCUAGAGCCGCAUGGCUCUAGAUUUAAAAUUCCGGUGGUACGGGACGGGCACGCGCGACAUUAGGUAGUUGGCGGGGUAAGGG